GAUGAACGCUAGCUACAGGCUUAACACAUGCAAGUCGAGGGGCAGCAUUUUAGUUUGCUUGCAAACUGAAGAUGGCGACCGGCGCACGGGUGAGUAACACGUAUCCAACCUGCCGAUAACUCCGGAAUAGCCUUUCGAAAGAAAGAUUAAUACCGGAUAGCAUACGAAUAUCGCAUGAUAUUUUUAUUAAAGAAUUUCGGUUAUCGAUGGGGAUGCGUUCCAUUAGUUUGUUGGCGGGGUAACGGCCCACCAAGACUACGAUGGAUAGGGGUUCUGAGAGGAAGGUCCCCCACAUUGGAACUGAGACACGGUCCAAACUCCUACGGGAGGCAGCAGUGAGGAAUAUUGGUCAAUGGGCGAGAGCCUGAACCAGCCAAGUAGCGUGAAGGAUGAAGGCUCUAUGGGUCGUAAACUUCUUUUAUAUGGGAAUAAAGUUUUCCACGUGUGGAAUUUUGUAUGUACCAUAUGAAUAAGGAUCGGCUAACUCCGUGCCAGCAGCCGCGGUAAUACGGAGGAUCCGAGCGUUAUCCGGAUUUAUUGGGUUUAAAGGGAGCGUAGGUGGAUUGUUAAGUCAGUUGUGAAAGUUUGCGGCUCAACCGUAAAAUUGCAGUUGAAACUGGCAGUCUUGAGUACAGUAGAGGUGGGCGGAAUUCGUGGUGUAGCGGUGAAAUGCUUAGAUAUCACGAAGAACUCCGAUUGCGAAGGCAGCUCACUAGACUGUCACUGACACUGAUGCUCGAAAGUGUGGGUAUCAAACAGGAUUAGAUACCCUGGUAGUCCACACAGUAAACGAUGAAUACUCGCUGUUUGCGAUAUACAGUAAGCGGCCAAGCGAAAGCAUUAAGUAUUCCACCUGGGGAGUACGCCGGCAACGGUGAAACUCAAAGGAAUUGACGGGGGCCCGCACAAGCGGAGGAACAUGUGGUUUAAUUCGAUGAUACGCGAGGAACCUUACCCGGGCUUAAAUUGCAACAGAAUAUAUUGGAAACAGUAUAGCCGUAAGGCUGUUGUGAAGGUGCUGCAUGGUUGUCGUCAGCUCGUGCCGUGAGGUGUCGGCUUAAGUGCCAUAACGAGCGCAACCCUUAUCUUUAGUUACUAACAGGUCAUGCUGAGGACUCUAGAGAGACUGCCGUCGUAAGAUGUGAGGAAGGUGGGGAUGACGUCAAAUCAGCACGGCCCUUACGUCCGGGGCUACACACGUGUUACAAUGGGGGGUACAGAAGGCGGCUACCUGGUGACAGGAUGCUAAUCCCAAAAACCUCUCUCAGUUCGGAUCGAAGUCUGCAACCCGACUUCGUGAAGCUGGAUUCGCUAGUAAUCGCGCAUCAGCCAUGGCGCGGUGAAUACGUUCCCGGGCCUUGUACACACCGCCCGUCAAGCCAUGAGAGCCGGGGGUACCUGAAGUGCGUAACCGCGAGGAGCGCCCUAGGGUAAAACUGGUGACAG
RNAcentral lists this ribosomal RNA (1446 nucleotides) under uncultured organism. Its description in RNAcentral is "SSU rRNA". It matches the Rfam family "Bacterial small subunit ribosomal RNA". The record is from RNAcentral.